Long non-coding RNA from Olea europaea var. sylvestris, 1447 nucleotides. RefSeq lists it as uncharacterized. NCBI's taxonomy places the organism in Eukaryota, Viridiplantae, Streptophyta, Magnoliopsida, Lamiales, Oleaceae. The record is from RefSeq and is a predicted model, not a curated record. The transcript has 3 exons.
AACACAACUUAUUUAUUAUUGUAUCUAAAGCUGAAGGGUCAUUCUUCUAUUCUCAUAUUGACGUCCACAGAUUUUAGACGGAUAAGGUGCACACAUACUGUGUUGGAAAAUUUGGCUGGAAAAGGUAACCAUUUGCUGAAAAUUUCGCUAGAGAAGAUCCAAGUAAUUACGGUGUUGCAGCCUACAGAAGAAGAAUUAUAGACAUUAUGGUAUAGAAGUUUGUCAUUGCCAAUGGACGAUGAACAUAAUAUAUUAGAUGGUAUUGUGAAUGGGCAAUUAGAUAAUGUAGUACCAAAAUUCUCGAAUAAUAUAUAUGUGGAGCAAACAACUAUUCUCGGUAUUUCGGGAACUUCUACCGGAGCUGGGUGCAGUUCUGCUUCUGGUGGUUCCAACUAUGUAACUGAAGAAAAAAUGGAAGAAAUGUUGAGAAUCUAUAAGCAACAUAACAUAUCAGAUAUGUCUGGUUUAUGUUACAAUUUGAAGGCUGAAAUUCUUGAAGAAUCAAAAAGUCAUUACUAUACGAUUCUUAACAACCAAAAACAGUUGUUUGAAGAACAGAAGAAAUGGCAAUAUGAUUACAUGCAGUCUAGUAUGCAUUCUUAUAUGGACAGUUCAUUAUCAAGUUUGUUUGAUAAACAUGGUGUUGAUGAAUCGCAGAAACAAGAAGAUCGUUAUCAGAGCAUGCAGUCUCAUGUGGAUAUCAGUGUGGCUUCUGUGUGAUCUUAUGUUGAUGAACAAAAUGAGAACUUAUUCAAGAAAUUUUCUGAUUGGAAAUCAAACAUAGAAGCCAUUAUAAGCUAUACACAAUACGAAAUCCUAUUGGUAGAGGUUUAAUUCUUGAUGAUCAACCAAAGAAUGUGUCUAUGUCUGAAUAGGCCGGAAGUUUUUUGAAACGUUUAGAAGAGAGAAGAAAAGGAAGGGAAAACAAAUACAAUUUUCGCCGUCUAAAGGUUAUCCUUUGGAAGACUAUUCUAUGGAAAAGUAUUCGAUACUUAAAAAUUGGAUAGCGAAUAAUGAAUCGAGGUGAAAAAAAAAUCAUUAUUAGUUUAAAUACAAAAAAAAAUUCCGAUUUAUUCAAUACUAAUUUUAAUUAUGCUAUGCAGUGCAUUAUAGGAAGAGUGUUGGGUACAUGUAUGGAAGAGAUUGGUUGAAAGAUUUAUUGGAUCAAACAAAUGAUAUAAAUGUUAUGACAAUUGAGCUGGAGUUGAAGUUUUUGAGGCGACUUAUCAAUAAUGGUUGCACUCUUGUGUCUAAAGAAAAUGCCAUCAUAGACUUUAAAUUUGAAAAUAAGUGUGCUAAUAUGAUGAUUUGGCAAAGGGAUUACGUCAUUAGAAUUAAUAAAGGUAUACCAGAUGGGACCGUUUUAAAUCAAUAUGCCAACGACAGAUUGUCUGUAGAGAGUCGUCCAUGGGUAGGGUGUAAGUAUUUGUUAAUUCCAUGCUCAUAU